MicroRNA precursor from Sorghum bicolor (sorghum), 214 nucleotides. It matches the Rfam family "MIR6217 microRNA precursor family". Lineage: Eukaryota; Viridiplantae; Streptophyta; Magnoliopsida; Poales; Poaceae. The record is from Rfam.
UGGCUACAAAAUAACUUAUUUUGUAGCCACUUUGAGUUACGAUAAUUACCAUAUUAAUUUACAAGAAUAUAGUAACUCCUUACUAACAUUACGGUAAAUAUCCUCAUGUGUUAUAGUAACCCAAUUAUCGUAAAUAUGUAUACAUAUUAUCGUAAAUUAGUAUAUAAAAUUAUCGUAAAUGGAGAUGGCUACAGAAUAACAUAUUUUAUAGCUA